AAACGACUCUCGGCAACGGAUAUCUCGGCUCUUGCAUCGAUGAAGAACGUAGCAAAAUGCGAUACGUGGUGUGAAUUGCAGAAUUCCGUGAACCAUCGAGUUUUUGAACGCAAGUUGCGCCCAAUGUCAUUUUGGCUAAGGGCACGUCUGCCUGGGCGUC
RNAcentral lists this ribosomal RNA (160 nucleotides) under Elatostema reticulatum. RNAcentral's name for it is "5.8S ribosomal RNA". It matches the Rfam family "5.8S ribosomal RNA". Rfam says of the family: 5.8S ribosomal RNA (5.8S rRNA) is a component of the large subunit of the eukaryotic ribosome. It is transcribed by RNA polymerase I as part of the 45S precursor that also contains 18S and 28S rRNA. Functionally, it is thought that 5.8S rRNA may be involved in ribosome translocation. Lineage: Eukaryota; Viridiplantae; Streptophyta; Magnoliopsida; Rosales; Urticaceae. The record is from RNAcentral.